AUAUAUAUAUAUAUAUAUAUAUAUAUAUAUGCAUUUCCAUGUAAAAUAUACAUAUUAAAGGUACAAAAGGUGUAUCCUUCCUUUAGGGUAUCAAAAAGGAAAGGACGAAUUUAAAGCUAUUUUUUGCAGAUUGUAAAGAUAAAGGUAAGUGAUUAAGACAUUAUGAAAAGCAUGAACAAAAACUAAUGAUGGGCUGCAGUCUCUCCUGUUUAUGUUAAGAUUACAUUUUAAAUUUACAUUUUGUAUCUGUUAAUUAAUACAUUAUGUUUGCCUUAUUUACAUCUUUAUUCUAAGGUUGGUGUAAGUGCAUACUCAUUUAUUAAUCAGGCCACAAGGAAAUACACCCAAAGAGCAUUGAACACGACACUACAGCCUAGAUUUUAUUGGUAAAACUUAACCACAGAUAAAUUCCAUUUUUUUUCCCUGUAACUGUGGUGCUGCUCUCUGUGUGGUUUAUUUACCAGCUGUUUUUAUUAAUGUACAUAUUAAUCAUGUGAAAGAGAAGCAGGCAUCCACCACAGCACCUGCACACACACACACACACACACACACACACACACACACACACACACACACACACACACACACACACACACACACACUGUAUUAAGCAUGCGGCCAUGAUGUAGGUCCUUCUCUUCUUUAGCUGAUGAUUCAGACCUCCAGCCUGUACACUCUGCAGCUGUGUGCUCAUGCUUGUUCACACUGCAUUCACUUGCAUCCAGUAAUUACAUUAGCUCGACAGUCUAACGCUGACUACUUUAACAUUAUUUAAUUCAAGUCAUCAUUGAGCAAUAUGCCAUUUCUGGAGUUACUUUGUUCAUGCGUUAUUACACAGUAAUAACUAUAUAAUUAUAAUACAUUACUCUAUUGUUGGACUUUUCUAUAUAAUUAUAUUUGUAGUUUGUCUAAAAUGUACAACAUGUAUAUAAAUGACACACAUUGAUAGUUGUGUUUGUGUUAGAAAACAUGUUGAUGUGGAGUUGUAGAGGUUAGAUAAAUCACUACUCGUGAUACAUGUAAUAGAAAUUUGAAUUCGGUAGAAAAUGGUGUGAUGAGGUUCUCUAGCUCAGUUGUUGCAGCUGCUAAUCCACACAAGUCAUAUGCAGUCUAUCACAUAAUGACAUUACUGCAAGCCUAAUGUCAGAGAAAUGUGGUGCACCGUUCAGAUGAGCAGUAAGGGUUAUGAACAAAAGGAUAUUCUAGAUGACUAAUGUAUUUCCUAGAUGAAUAAAAGAUUUUCUAGAUAAGUAAAGGAUAUUCUAGAUGAUUAAAGGAUAUCCUAGAUUACUAAAGAUUAUCCUAGAUAACGAAAGGACUAAAGGAUAUACUAGAUUUUUAAAAGAUAUCCUAGAUUGCUAAAGGAUAUCUUAGCUUACUAAAUAAUGUCCUAUGACUAAAGGCUAUCCUAGAUGACUAAAAGGAUGUCCUAGAUUUCUAAAGGAUAUCCCAUCUGACUAAAUGAUGUCCUAGAUUACUAAAAGAUAUCCUAGAGGAUUUAGUCAUAGAACAUCCUUUAGUCAUCUAGGACAUAAUUUAGUCAUCUAGGAUAUCUUGUCGUAAUCUAGGAUAUCUUUUAGUAAUCUGGGACAUCAUUAAAUCAUCUAGGAUAUCUUUUAGUAAUCCGCGACUUCAUUUAAUCAUCUAGGAUAUCUUUUAGUAAUCAAGGACAUCCUUUAGUUAUAAAGGAAGACCUAGAUGACCAAAGGAUAUUCUAGAUAUCUAAAGGAGCACAUGCAAAGGAGUAAAAUAAUAAAACAAUCAACAAUCAUAAACAAUUUGCAAAAGGAUACAAGGCCUGGGUCAGUCCCACAUAAUUAUGAACUUGAAUAUCAAUUUAGCACGAGGAUCUCAAAAGAGUUACUUUUCUGCAAAGUAUGUCUAAUUCCAAACCACAUGAUUUAGCAAAUGAGCUAAUGAAAACACUAGCUGGAUGAGCUAAACGGUGCACAAAAACGGUGAGCUAUUCAGAAGAAGGGAAAAUGUCCAGAUUACAAUAACGCCGCCAUAAGAAAUAUUAGUUGUUUUUGUCAUGCCAUUUUGUUUUCAGUGCAUUAAAAACAUAACCUUACUAAUGUCCAUAAACCAGAUAGCGUAUAGAUGGUGUUCUAGCUAUUGCAUGUCAGUUGGUAUGGAGUAAAGUUUACAGUUACAUAGUAUGUGCAGUGUCACAGGUUACUUCUGUCUGGAUUAUAUAUAUAUAUAUAUAU
Molecule: long non-coding RNA, 2210 nt
Organism: Ictalurus punctatus (channel catfish)
Lineage: Eukaryota; Metazoa; Chordata; Actinopteri; Siluriformes; Ictaluridae
Source: Ensembl